RNAcentral lists this ribosomal RNA (253 nucleotides) under uncultured bacterium. RNAcentral describes it as "partial 16S ribosomal RNA". It matches the Rfam family "Bacterial small subunit ribosomal RNA", at positions 524 to 776 of the family's 1533-position model. The record is from RNAcentral.
UACGAAGGGGGCUAGCGUUGCUCGGAAUCACUGGGCGUAAAGCGCACGUAGGCGGAUUGCUAAGUCAGGGGUGAAAUCCCGGAGCUCAACUCCAGAACUGCCUUUGAUACUGGCGGUCUCGAGUCCGGGAGAGGUGAGUGGAACUGCGAGUGUAGAGGUGAAAUUCGUAGAUAUUCGCAAGAACACCAGUGGCGAAGGCGGCUCACUGGCCCGGUACUGACGCUGAGGUGCGAAAGCGUGGGGAGCAAACAGG